Non-coding RNA from Triticum aestivum (bread wheat), 156 nucleotides. The record is from Rfam. NCBI's taxonomy places the organism in Eukaryota, Viridiplantae, Streptophyta, Magnoliopsida, Poales, Poaceae.
CUAGUACUCCCUCCGUUCGGAAUUAUUUAUCGUAGAAAUGGAUAUAUCUAGAUCCGUUCGGAAUUACUUGUCUCGGAAAUGGAUAUAUCUAGAACUAAAAUACAUCUAGAUACAUCCAUUUCUACGACAAAUAAUUCCGAACGGAGGGAGUAUCGC